This 299-nucleotide ribosomal RNA is filed under the name uncultured bacterium. RNAcentral's name for it is "partial 16S ribosomal RNA". It matches the Rfam family "Bacterial small subunit ribosomal RNA", at positions 794 to 1094 of the family's 1533-position model. The record is from RNAcentral.
UCCACACCGUAAACUUUGUACACUAGGUGUUAUGACACAAGUCAUAGUACCGAAGCUAACGCGUUAAGUGUACCGCCUGGGGAGUAUGCCGGCAACGGUGAAACUCAAAGGAAUUGACGGGGGCCCGCACAAGCGGUGGAGCAUGUGGUUUAAUUCGACGAUACGCGAAAAACCUUACCGGGAUUUGACAUAUAGUUGAUCGGUAUAGAGAUGUACUUUUCUCUUCGGAGGCAGCUAAACAGGUGCUGCAUGGCUGUCGUCAGCUCGUGUUGUGAGAUGUUGGGUUAAGUCCCGCAACG